This 2817-nucleotide ribosomal RNA is filed under the name Clostridioides difficile. RNAcentral describes it as "bacterial LSU rRNA". It matches the Rfam family "Bacterial large subunit ribosomal RNA". The record is from RNAcentral. Lineage: Bacteria; Bacillati; Bacillota; Clostridia; Peptostreptococcales; Peptostreptococcaceae.
AGGGUGCAGGGCGGAUGCCUUGGCACUAGGAGCCGAUGAAGGACGUGAUAAGCUGCGAUAAGCUUCGGGGAGUUGCACGUAAACUUUGAUCCGAAGAUUUCCGAAUGAGGAAACUCACUUAGAGUAAUGUCUAAGUAUCAUUAAGUGAAUACAUAGCUUAAUGAGGGGAACUCAGGGAACUGAAACAUCUAAGUACCUGAAGGAAGAGAAAGAAAUUCGAUUCCGUAAGUAGCGGCGAGCGAACGCGGAUUAGCCCAAACCAAUAAAGUUUUCUUUAUUGGGGUUGCGGACAUAUCAUAACGAAGAGGUAUCGUAAUUGAAGAGGUUUGGAAAGACCCACCACAGAAGGUAAUAGUCCUGUAUGUUAAACGAGAAGACUUNAGAUAUGAUCCAGAGUACCACGGGACACGUGAAACCCUGUGGGAAGCAGGAGGGACCACCCUCCAAGGCUAAAUACUACCUAGUGACCGAUAGCGUAUAGUACCGUGAGGGAAAGGUGAAAAGAACCCCGGGAGGGGAGUGAAAUAGAACCUGAAACCCUGCACUUACAAGCUGUGGAAGCACAUUUCUUGUGUGACCGCGUACUUUUUGUAGAACGGGCCAACGAGUUACGUUAAGUAGCAAGGUUAAGCACUUAAGGUGCGGAGCCGUAGCGAAAGCGAGUUUUAACUGAGCGUUCAGUUACUUGACGUAGACCCGAAACCGGGCGACCUACCCAUGAGCAGGAUGAAGCGAAAGUAAAAUUUCGUGGAGGUCCGAACCCACGAGCGUUGAAAAGCUCGGGGAUGACUUGUGGGUAGCGGUGAAAUUCCAAUCGAGCCCGGAGAUAGCUGGUUCUCCCCGAAAUAGCUUUAGGGCUAGCCUCAAGGUGAGAGAUACGGAGGUAGAGCACUGAAUGUCCUAGGGGGUAUUGCACCUACCGAAGACUAUCAAACUCCGAAUGCCGUCAUCUUAUACUUGGGAGUCAGACUGUGGGUGAUAAGAUUCAUAGUCGAAAGGGCAACAGCCCAGAUCGUCAGCUAAGGUCCCUAAAUGUAAGUUAAGUGGUAAAGGAUGUGGGAUUGCACAGACAACCAGGAUGUUGGCUUAGAAGCAGCCACUCAUUCAAAGAGUGCGUAAUAGCUCACUGGUCGAGUGAUCCUGCGCCGAAGAUUUCCGGGGCUAAAACUUACUACCGAAGCUACGGCAUCAGUAAUGAUGGGUAGGGGAGCUUCCCAUACGGGUUGAAGCAUGACCGUAAGGACAUGUGGACAGUAUGGGAGUGAGAAUGUUGGCAUGAGUAGCGAGAUGUGGGUGAGAAUCCCACAGGCCGUAAACCCAAGGUUUCCAGGGGAAGGUUCGUCCGCCCUGGGUUAGUCGGGACCUAAGCUGAGGCCGAAAGGCGUAGGUGAUGGACAACAGGUUGAUAUUCCUGUACUACCGAUAACCGUUUGAGAGAAGGGAUGACACAGUAGGAUAAGCUAAGCACACUGUUGGUUAUGUGUGCCCAAGCAUUGAGGCAGUCAAAGUAGGCAAAUCCGCUUUGAUAAUGCUGGGAUGUGAUGGGGAGCGAAAUUUAGUAGCGAAGUAGCUGAUUUCACACUGUCAAGAAAAGUCUCUAUCGAGGUUAAAGGUACCCGUACCGCAAACCGACACAGGUGGGUGAGGAGAGUAUCCUAAGGCCAGCGAGAGAACUGUUGUUAAGGAACUCGGCAAAAUGACCCCGUAACUUAGGGAUAAGGGGUGCCACCAUCAGGUGGCCGCAGAGAAUAGGCCCAAGCGACUGUUUACCAAAAACAUAGGUUUCUGCUAAGUCGCAAGACGAUGUAUAGGAGCUGACGCCUGCCCGGUGCUGGAAGGUUAAGGGGAUCUGUUAGAGCAAUCGAAGCAGUGAACUUAAGCCCCAGUAAACGGCGGCCGUAACUAUAACGGUCCUAAGGUAGCGAAAUUCCUUGUCGGGUAAGUUCCGACCCGCACGAAAGGCGUAACGAUUUGGGCACUGUCUCAACAACAGACUCGGUGAAAUUGUAAUUCCGGUGAAGAUGCCGGAUACCUGCGACAGGACGGAAAGACCCCAUGGAGCUUUACUGUAGCUUGACAUUGGGUCUUGGUACUACAUGUACAGGAUAGGUGGGAGGCUUUGAAACCAGGACGCCAGUUUUGGCGGAGCCAUCCUUGGGAUACCACCCUUGUAGUACUGGGACUCUAACCAUAGGCCAUGAAUCUGGUCUUGGGACACUGUCAGGUGGGCAGUUUGACUGGGGCGGUCGCCUCCCAAAAGGUAACGGAGGCGCUCAAAGGUUCUCUCAGUACGGUCGGAAAUCGUACGUAGAGUGUAAAGGCAAAAGAGAGCUUGAUUGCAAGACAUACAGGUCGAGCAAGGAUGAAAAUCGGACUUAGUGAUCCGGUGGUUCUGCGUGGAAGGGCCAUCGCUCAACGGAUAAAAGCUACCCUGGGGAUAACAGGCUUAUCUCCCCCAAGAGUCCACAUCGACGGGGAGGUUUGGCACCUCGAUGUCGGCUCAUCACAUCCUGGGGCUGUAGUAGGUCCCAAGGGUUGGGCUGUUCGCCCAUUAAAGUGGUACGCGAGCUGGGUUCAGAACGUCGUGAGACAGUUCGGUCCCUAUCCGUCGCAGGCGUAGGAAAUUUGAGAAGACCUGUCCUUAGUACGAGAGGACCGGGAUGGACGUACCUCUGGUGUACCAGUUGUCCUGCCAAGGGCAUGGCUGGGUAGCUAUGUACGGAAUGGAUAAGCGCUGAAAGCAUCUAAGCGCGAAGCCAACUUCAAGAUAAGAUUUCCCACCGCAAGGGUAAGACCCCAGAAAGACUAUCUGGUUGA